GGUUUUUAAAAAGGGUUAUUAGCGGGCAUUCGGGCUUAAUUUUUUUGAUUUUCCCUCUUAAUCACUCCCAAAUUGCAAUAGUGACCUAAUUUCUGGUGACCUAAGACGUCUGAACUAGAUGAGUAGUUCAAUCGCUGGAGGUGGAAGGGAAGAUCUAGUUUCUUAGGAUGGACAGAAGGGUUUCGCGUAGUUCAAUCGCAAUUUCAACCCACCUUCAAUCCUAGGCAAUCACAUCAUCUGGAACAAAGAAAGGUGAAUUUUUUCUUGCUGAUGUCAAUACACAAUUGAAGAAGGACAACAUUACUACUGAUGAUGGUUUAAUAUGACAAAAUCAGCUGAAAGCUUGAAUUAGUUGAUAAAUAAGCACACUUGUUAAUUAUCAGGUUAAUGAGGCCAGAUCUUAGGAUAGACUUCAGUUCAUGUUUAAUGCAGUUCACCAAGUACCACUGAUCAGAUAAUAUUCUUGGUUAGCUGGUCUACAAAGCGCUACACGGUCGGUUCUGAUCUACCUGUUUUGUCAGGGAAAAACAAGAUCGUGUAGUAUGUCUUGAUACAUAUAGCUGCAAUGAACAAAGAGAAUUAUGGAUGUCACCGAAUUUAUGGUAGAGCCGUUAUAAAUACAUUUAUCAAAUAAGUAGACGCUGCUUGCGCAUUGUACAUAAUUCCAGAGGGGCUAAUGAAAUCAUUCAAAGCAAACAUCAAAGUUGAGAAAUACCACUUGCUUGAAAUACGUAGAGAGAUUGAAGAGGAUC
Molecule: long non-coding RNA, 752 nt
Filed under: Helianthus annuus (common sunflower)
Lineage: Eukaryota; Viridiplantae; Streptophyta; Magnoliopsida; Asterales; Asteraceae
Description: hypothetical non coding rna
Source: RNAcentral